GCCGAGUGUUGUGGCGGGCGCCUGUGGUCCCAGCUAUUUGGGAGGUGGAGGCAGGAGACUCGCUUGAGCCCAGGAGUUGGAGGUUGCUGUGAGCCGUGAUGCCACGGCAAUCUACCCAGUGCGACAGCUUGAGGCUCUGUCUCAAAAAAAAAAAAAAAAAAAAAAAUUAUAAAAUUGCACAGCAGGUAAAGAGAAAUUACAGAAUUUUUUUUUUUUUUUUUUUUUUGGAGACAGAGCCUCAGGCUGUCCCCCUGGGUAGAGUGCCGUUGGCAUCACGGCUCACAGCAACCUCCAACUCCUGGGCUCAAGCGAGUCUCCUGCCUCAG
This is a non-coding RNA of Otolemur garnettii (small-eared galago), 326 nucleotides long. NCBI's taxonomy places the organism in Eukaryota, Metazoa, Chordata, Mammalia, Primates, Galagidae. The record is from Rfam.